Molecule: unclassified non-coding RNA, 735 nt
Filed under: Hevea brasiliensis (rubber tree)
Lineage: Eukaryota; Viridiplantae; Streptophyta; Magnoliopsida; Malpighiales; Euphorbiaceae
Source: RNAcentral
CUUUCAAACCCCAAACCCACUCCACCUUCACUACUACUUCCCCCAAAUCCUCACCCCAUCGGCCAUGAAUCCCAAUUCAAUUCCUCCCCCACGACCCCUCCUUCCUCCAUGUUCUCGCCGGUCCACCGGGUCAUGCUAGCCGCCACUUCGUGGCUCCGCACGCGCUGGAGCCGCUUUCUCUUUCUCCUCCUCUGUUCUCCUAUUCUUCUCCCUUUUAUCUGCGCUUGCUUUCCUCUUCUAUGUGCUGUUGAGCUCUGCAUCCACACUUGCCGCCUCUGCCGGGGGAAAAAGGAGGUGGACGAUGAGGAACGUCUGCGGCGAUGUGAAGAGGGAUUCUGCGAUUGCGAUCGGAUGGCGGAUGAGGAAAAGGAAGUUGGACUUUUGCAGAGGUAUUUGGAAGAUCAGUUAAGGCUUGUUGGAUCUGUGUAUGAGUGUGGUGAUGAAUUUGAUAGUCAAGAAGAGGAAGAAACUCCUCUUUUGGGUUAAUUGCUACUGAUUUUUAAUUUCUUUGACUUAAUUUUUUUGGGUUUUUGAUUCUGUGUAAAUGUAAAUGAUUGAGGGUUUUUGUUCAUCUAGAAUUUGUAUUGGAAUUUGAAUUUCUGGGUUUUGUUUUUUUCUCAGUGUAAUUAGAAUCUGAUUGAAUUUUUGGGGUUUGAUAGUCUCAAUCUGACGAUGUUUGAUCUGGAAAUGUGAUUUGUUCUUGUUCUGAUUCUGUUUACAUGGGGAAACUUUGAG